This 2655-nucleotide ribosomal RNA is filed under the name Triticum aestivum (bread wheat). RNAcentral's name for it is "partial small subunit ribosomal RNA". Lineage: Eukaryota; Viridiplantae; Streptophyta; Magnoliopsida; Poales; Poaceae. The record is from RNAcentral.
AUGGAGCCACCAACGCCCAGAACCAUGCCAUCAUGGUUGCUGCUUCUCUGCCUAGUCGCCUCUGGCCUGUUGCAAGCUCUUGCGCAGUCUAACCCACCAGGUUUCAUAAGCAUAGACUGUGGUCUCCCCGGAGAGACAGGCUACGUGGAUAGCGCCACCACGCUACCCUACACCACGGACGCUGGCUUCAUCGGCGCCUACGUCGGCUCGAACCACAACAUCGCCGCCAUAUACAUGACCUCGCCACUACCCAACAACUGGUGGUACACCCUGCGCAGCUUCCCCGUCGGGAAACGCAACUGUUACACUCUUGGCUCGCUCGUGCCCGGGCUCAAGUACCUCAUCCGCGCCAGGUUCUUCUACGGCAACUACGACGGCUUCAACUACCAACCUUUCUUCGAUCUCUAUGUCGGUGUUGACUUCUGGAUGACGGUGAACAUCCGAGCCUCCAACACGGCGGUGCUAGCGGAGGCCAUCGUGAUGGUGCCGCGCGAUUCGGUGCAGGUUUGCCUGGUGAACACGGGCGGUGGGGUGCCGUUCAUCUCUGCGCCGUUUGGUAAAAAUAUGUACCGUUUGGUAAAAAUACUUCAGUACCCUGAUGAUCCAUUCGAUCGGAUGUGGUUCCCUUUUUCUGGCAACGAAACAACUCACUGGGAUGAGAUAUCAACGGACAUGGAGGUCCACAUCACUGACGACCAAUUCCAGCCGCCCCAGGCCGUGAUGCAGACGGCCAACACGCCGAAGAACGUCUUAGACAACAUAGAGUUCACCUUAAACCUCCAUAGUUCCCCUACUGACCCGUCCCUGGGUUACAUGGAACUGAUAUACUUCUCUGAACUGGAACCUCUCCCUAGUGGCGCACUACGGCCAUACAACAUCUACCGGAAUGGUGGAGAGAUCAAAACAAACUACACUCCAAAGUACCUUGACGCUGGUUGCAUCCACUCGACUGAGCCAUUUAAAUUUCAAGCUAGCCAGUACAUAUUAUCCAUCAACCCCACUGCUAAUGCGACGCUGCCGCCCAUCAUAAACGCAUUAGAGCUAUUCUCCGUCAUGUCAACCAGCACCCUUGGCACCGACUCACAACACGUGUCUGCCAUCACGGCGAUCAAGGAGAUGUACCAGGUGCAGAAGAAUUGGAUGGGUGACCCGUGUGUUCCCAAUACUAUGGUCUGGGAUGGCUUGACAUGUAUCUAUGGCACUUCUGGACCCCCAAUUAUCUCAAACGUAAACGUCUCCUUCAGUGGUCUGGAUCAUACUAUAUCACCUGAUUUUGCAAAUCUCACGGAUGUCCGAUACUUGGAUUUGUCAAACAACAACUUGAUUGGCUCAAUUCCGGACACCCUUUCACAAUUACCAUCAUUAAUAUUUUUUGGAUCAAUUCCCUAUGGACUUCUCAAAAAAGUUCAAGAUGGCUCCUUGUAUCUAAGAUAUGGCAACAAUCCUGACCUCUGUUCUAAUGGAAGUACAUGCCAGCCUGCUAAAGGAGAUAGCAAAUUAGCUAUCCACAUAGCUGUUCCUGUAGUUGUAAUUGUAGCAUUAGUGCUAGUGGCAAUACUAUGCUUUUUGUUGCAGAGAAAAAGGAAUCAAAGAUCAAUCAGAAACCAUGUAAAGCUGACAAAUGAUAGCGAUUGGAAUAUUUCACUUGCAAGUGAGAACCGUCAGUUCACGUACAUGGAACUAGAGGUGAUAACGAAAAAUUUCCAACGAUCGCUUGGGCAAGGAGGGUUCGGGUUUGUCUUCCACGGCUCCCUCGAAAAGGGUACUGAGGUGGCAGUAAAGUUGAGGUCUCAUUCUUCAAAUCAAGGCAUCAAGGAGUUCCUUGCAGAGGCUCAAGUUUUAACACUUAUUCAUCACAAGAAUCUUGUGUCCAUGAUUGGUUACUGCAACGACGGGGGGCACAUGGCAGUUGUCUAUGAGUACAUGCCUCAAGGAUCCCUAAAAGAGCUUAUUGCAGAAGAUGACAACAAACAAUGCUUGCCCUGGGGACAAAGACUUCGAGUUGCACUUGAAUCGGCGCAAGGACUGGAGUACCUACACAAGGGGUGUAGCCCACCUAUAAUUCACAGGGAUGUGAAAACCGCUAACAUCUUGUUAAACGCAAGGCUGGAGGCCAAGAUUGCCGAUUUUGGCUUGUCCAAGGUUUUCAACUGUGAGGAUGACACCCAUGUAUCCACCAACACAUUUGUAGGCACAUACGGAUAUGCAGAUCCAGAGACAGUGCAGCCGUCAACGAAGAGUGACGUGUACAGCUUUGGUGUUGUGCUGCUAGAGCUAGUCACUGGGAAGCCAGCCAUCAUACGCAACCCCGAGGCCAUAAUCUCCCUCGUCAAUUGGACACGACAACGGCUCGCAUGGGGCGACAUUGAGGGCGUUGUGGAUCCGCGUAUGCAAGGUGAUCAUGACAUCAAUGCUAUUUGGAAGACUACAGAGAUUGCAUUCAAGUGCACUGAGCAAUCGCCCCUGCAACGGCCAUCCAUGACCGAUGUCGUGAUGCAGCUACAAGAGUGCCUCGACCUCGAGCAAGGCUUCAAACAGGGCAACAAUGGAUUCUACACUGGCAGUGGCAACGGUGAAGUGGACCCAAACAUGGAUUACAACACUACAACGAAUCAGUCCAUUGAUGUGAGCCAGAAUAACGCUACUUUGAGAUAA